Molecule: ribosomal RNA, 1163 nt
Filed under: Metarhizium sp. 1 AM-2020a
Lineage: Eukaryota; Fungi; Ascomycota; Sordariomycetes; Hypocreales; Clavicipitaceae
Description: bacterial SSU rRNA
Rfam family: Eukaryotic small subunit ribosomal RNA
Source: RNAcentral
ACAUGGUAGUCAAUAAAGAGCUGUCUCAAAAGACUAAAGCCUAGUGCAUGGGUCCUAAGUAUUAAGGCAAAUUUAUACAGCGGAAACUGCGAAUGGCUCAUUAUAUAAGUUAUCGUUUAUUUGAUAGUACCUUACUACUUGGAUAAUCGUGGUAAUUCUAGAGCUAAUACAUGCUAAAAAUCCCGACUUCGGAAGGGAUGUAUUUAUUAGAUUAAAAACCAAUGCCCCUCGGGGCUCUCUGGUGAUUCAUAAUAACUUCUCGAAUCGCACGGCCCUUGCGCCGGCGAUGGUUCAUUCAAAUUUCUUCCCUAUCAACUUUCGAUGUUUGGGUAGUGGCCAAACAUGGUUGCAACGGGUAACGGAGGGUUAGGGCUCGACCCCGGAGAAGGAGCCUGAGAAACGGCUACUACAUCCAAGGAAGGCAGCAGGCGCGCAAAUUACCCAAUCCCGAUUCGGGGAGGUAGUGACAAUAAAUACUGAUACAGGGCUCUUUCGGGUCUUGUAAUUGGAAUGAGUACAAUUUAAAUCCCUUAACGAGGAACAAUUGGAGGGCAAGUCUGGUGCCAGCAGCCGCGGUAAUUCCAGCUCCAAUAGCGUAUAUUAAAGUUGUUGUGGUUAAAAAGCUCGUAGUUGAACCUUGGGCCUGGCUGGCCGGUCCGCCUCACCGCGUGUCACUGGUCCGGCCGGGUCUUUCCCUCUGUGGAACCACAUGCCCUUCACUGGGCGUGGCGGGGAAACAGGACUUUUACUUUGAAAAAAUUAGAGUGCUCCAGGCAGGCCUAUGCUCGAAUACAUUAGCAUGGAAUAAUGAAAUAGGACGUGCGGUUCUAUUUUGUUGGUUUCUAGGACCGCCGUAAUGAUUAAUAGGGACAGUCGGGGGCAUCAGUAUUCAAUUGUCAGAGGUGAAAUUCUUGGAUUUAUUGAAGACUAACUACUGCGAAAGCAUUUGCCAAGGAUGUUUUCAUUAAUCAGGAACGAAAGUUAGGGGAUCGAAGACGAUCAGAUACCGUCGUAGUCUUAACCAUAAACUAUGCCGACUAGGGAUCGGACGAUGUUAUUUAGUUGACUCGUUCGGCACCUUACGAGAAAUCAAAGUGCUUGGGGCUCCCCAGGGGGAGUAUGGUCGGCAAGGCUGAAACUAAGAAGAAUUUGGACGGGAAGGG